AUUGAACGCUGGCGGCAUGCCUUACACAUGCAAGUCGAACGGCAGCGCGGGUGCUUGCACCUGGCGGCGAGUGGCGAACGGGUGAGUAAUACAUCGGAACGUGCCCUAGAGUGGGGGAUAACUAGUCGAAAGAUUAGCUAAUACCGCAUACGAUCUACGGAUGAAAGUGGGGGACCGCAAGGCCUCAUGCUCCUGGAGCGGCCGAUGUCUGAUUAGCUAGUUGGUGGGGUAAUAGCCUACCAAGGCGACGAUCAGUAGCUGGUCUGAGAGGACGACCAGCCACACGGGGACUGGGACACGGCGCAGACUCCGACGGGAGGCAGAAGUGGGGAAUUUUGGACAAUGGGGGCAACCCUGAUCCAGCAAUGCCGCGUGUGUGAAGAAGGCCUUCGGGUUGUAAAGCACUUUUGUCAGGAACGAAACGGUGGGGGCUAAUACCUCCUGCUAAUGACGGUACCUGAAGAAUAAGCACCGGCUAACUACGUGCCAGCAGCCGCCGUAA
RNAcentral lists this ribosomal RNA (502 nucleotides) under uncultured bacterium. RNAcentral's name for it is "partial 16S ribosomal RNA". It matches the Rfam family "Bacterial small subunit ribosomal RNA", at positions 30 to 523 of the family's 1533-position model. The record is from RNAcentral.